Molecule: long non-coding RNA, 353 nt
Filed under: Mytilus galloprovincialis (Mediterranean mussel)
Lineage: Eukaryota; Metazoa; Mollusca; Bivalvia; Mytilida; Mytilidae
Source: RNAcentral
UAUUUGUGAUUUUACCGCACUCAAAUAUAUAUGGUCCCAUGGCUUUUCUUGGUGAAUUUUGGGGUUUUUCACGAUACCUGACGAUUUCGCAGAAAAUUUUCCCUAAUUUUGAGCAACAUAAAAAAAUUAUUUUCGGCAUUUCAUACUAUACAUUUAAGGACAAAUUUGUACUUGCAUGAAACUUCAUUCAUAAUGCUUUCCAGAAGAAAAAUAUAUAAAAGAUAUAACAACCAAUCACAGAGAGCCAUCUAUUUUUAUCUCUAUGUCAUGUUCCCUUCAUAAAAUGGCUGCGCCCAUGUAAUUUUAUUUGGUACAUUGUAACCUAUACGGUAAUAAACAAUUUCUGAAAUUUG